CCUACGGGAGUCAGCAGUAGGGAAUCUUCCACAAUGGACGAAAGUCUGAUGGAGCAACGCCGCGUGAGUGAAGAAGGGUUUCGGCUCGUAAAGCUCUGUUGGCAGUGAAGAACGAUCGAGGUAGUAAUUGGCCUUUAUUUGACGGUAACUACUUAGAAAGCCACGGCUAACUACGUGCCAGCAGCCGCGGUAAUACGUAGGGUGCAAGCGUUAACCGGAUUUAUUGGGCGUAAAGCGGGUGCAGGCGGUUCAAUAAGUCUGGUGUGAAAGCCUCCGGCUCAACCGGGGAAUUGCAUCAGAAACUGUUGAACUGGAGUGCAGAAGAGGAGAGUGGAACUCCAUGUGUAGCAGUGGAAUGCGUAGAUAUAUGGAGGAACACCAGUGGCGAAGGCGGCUCUCUGGUCUGCAACUGACGCUGAGGCUCGAAAGCAUGGGUAGCGAACAGGAUUAGAUACCCGAGUAGUC
This 465-nucleotide ribosomal RNA is filed under the name uncultured bacterium. Its description in RNAcentral is "partial 16S ribosomal RNA". It matches the Rfam family "Bacterial small subunit ribosomal RNA", at positions 338 to 795 of the family's 1533-position model. The record is from RNAcentral.